Molecule: transfer RNA, 71 nt
Filed under: Candidatus Falkowiibacteriota bacterium
Lineage: Bacteria; Candidatus Falkowiibacteriota
Description: tRNA-Ala
Rfam family: tRNA
About the family: Transfer RNA (tRNA) molecules are approximately 80 nucleotides in length.
Source: RNAcentral
GGGCCUAUAGUUCAGCGGUAAAACAUAUCCAUGGCAUGGAUAAGUUGUGGGUUCGACUCCCACUAGGUCCA